CCUACGGGAGGCAGCAGUGGGGGAUAUUGGACAAUGGGGGGAACCCUGAUCCAGCGACGCCGCGUGAGUGAAGAAGUAUUUCGGUAUGUAAAGCUCUGUCAGCAGGGAAGAAAGAAAUGACGGUACCUGACCAAGAAGCCCCGGCUAACUACGUGCCAGCAGCCGCGGGAAUACGUAGGGGGCAAGCGUUAUCCGGAAUUAAUGGGUGUAAAGGGAGCGUAGACGGUUAAGUAAGUCUGGAGUGAAAGGCCGGGGCCCAACCCCGGGACUGCUCUGGAAACUAUUGAACUUGAGUGCAGGAGAGGUAAGCGGAAUUCGUAGUGUAGCGGUGAAAUGCGUAGAUAUUAGGAGGAACACCAGUGGCGAAGGCGGCUUACUGGACUGUAACUGACGUUGAGGCUCGAAAGCGUGGGGAGCAAACAGGAUUAGAUACCCGAGUAGUC
This 443-nucleotide ribosomal RNA is filed under the name uncultured bacterium. RNAcentral describes it as "partial 16S ribosomal RNA". It matches the Rfam family "Bacterial small subunit ribosomal RNA", at positions 338 to 795 of the family's 1533-position model. The record is from RNAcentral.